This is a long non-coding RNA of Struthio camelus australis, 2024 nucleotides long. The record is from Ensembl. Lineage: Eukaryota; Metazoa; Chordata; Aves; Struthioniformes; Struthionidae.
CAAAAAAGCCUGUAAGCAAACAGCAGACAUUAACACUUCCGAAGGUGACCAUGCAGUUAAGAGCAAAGGAGGAAGCAGAGAAAACAAAAAAGGAUCAGCAAAACAAGUAGCAAACUGCUGUCUAGGAUGAGGAAAGAAGUAUAAAGUGGGACUCAAAAAUCUUUUGAGAGCUGUGCUGCCACAGUAGCCUCGGAAGACAACAUGCAAGGGCUCAGCAGGAGUCGCAGUGGUGGAUAGUGGGGAGAAGAGGACAUGGAUAACCACAUAAAUCACUGCAGAGAUGUGAUUUAUAAAAGCCCUCUGAUACCCUCAACUGGGACUGAAGGCUCUCUCAGGGCAGUGCCGGUCUGGUCCGCCUGGUGGCAAACUGCAUUCACUGGAAGCGCUUCUCCAUGUAGAAGACCAUCGCAGAACUUCUCUUGCUGUGACAGUGUAAUGGGAGGUGGAGACACCUCGAGGAGAAGGUCAAAAGAGACAACAGCAAUUAUAGUCAAUCACAUCAGUGACCUGAGAAAAUCAGGCCCCAAUAUAUGCUUACAUGUGAUCUGUCUACGCCACCUUUCCUAUGUACAGAAACCUCAGGAGGACUGUCCACCCUUCAAAAUCUGUUAGGAUGUAUUUUAACUGCGUGAUAUCGGAGCCCAGCCGCUCUUGGUGGGUUGCAGAAAGAGGACAUAUAAUCACAAUACAUCUUCAGAGGCACAAACUAGGAGCAGCAGAAGACACAGGCAGCUUCCUGGAAUUGCAGCUGAGCAGCUCCAGUGAUUUUUCGGAGACUUCUCGGGUUCCUUUUUCCACAGUUGUUCAUUCAGAAACUUCAAGUGUUCGUGAAAAUGUUUGGGCUUCCUUUUGGCCCCUUCCAGGUGUUUUAUCUACCAAGGAAGCGAAUGUAAGAUUUUAUGGGCAGCAUCCUAACCACAAAGUAAAGAAUUCCAAAGUGGUGUUUGCCUUUGCAAAGAACCUGCUGGAUUCCUCACAAUUUCACAAGGGGACCUCUAAGCAAAGAAGCUCCAAAAUGUAUUAGCACCACUCUGAAUAUUGGUCUUACAAAGCUAUUCAAAUAAUUCUGCCUCCUUGUAUAUAGUUCAUCUUUUUAUUCUGUGAGAAGCAGGUCUGGGGGACAGUAAUUGUACUCCCUUGCACAGUACUGUGUUCACAUUAGGUACAAAGUCUCACCCUACUUCUCAGACCCAGGCCCGCAGCCCUGGAUUGCCUGGGCCCCACGACCAUGUCUCUUCACUGGCUCUUGAAAAGAAUUCAGAUUUUUUUAUGUGGUGGGCCCUGUGUUUUUGUAAAUCUGGCCCUCAUUUUGUUAUCUAACUGGGAACUAGGUGCUUUCUGUUCUUGAAGGUUGCUGCAAUAAUUAUUUUGAUCCUGAAUGAGCCAGAAACUAUUCUAAUGCAUAUCAGUGUAAAUUAAGUCAAUAGAGAGUCUUCAAAUUUAUCCUGGUGUUCAGAGAAUGGAAUUCAUGCACUUCAAUUUACAGCUUAUUAAGUGAUCAGAAUUAAUGAACUCGCAACAACCUUUUCUAUUCUUGUUUACACGUUUUCUUCCUAUUCACUCAUAAUGUACAUCGCUUAGAAAAAGCAGAGAGUUGAAAAGGCAGUGUGUGGGUCAGAUAUGUCCCAUGGAGCACAGCAUUGUGCUUCAAGGCUUUAAUCACAUUUGCAAAGUGACUGUGUAGAAAUGGCACCUUCUGACUGAGUUGAGCAGUAGUCUGUGCAUUCUGAUUUGGAUCUGCUGACCAUGAGGGGAGAGAAGCAAACAUUUUGCUCCUUUUUACUGCUGUUAACAUGGCAUAGGAAUGAGAGAGUUGGUUUCAGAAACAAAGCCAAAUGCUGCCCUUGGUUCCUUCUGUGCAACCAGUAAGAGAAUGUGCCCUGCAGAAUCUUUAUCAGUGCUAGUGAUGCGCAGAAACCCACCCUGAUUUUCAGAACCCCAUUUCUAUUCUGGAAGCUAGAAAAAUAUUUGCCCUGAGGAACAGAGAUGUUCUUCAGAAUCGCUGGAGAACAAUGGCUAUAGAA